Paramuricea clavata is the source of this 892-nucleotide non-coding RNA. The record is from the annotation of a GenBank genome assembly. Lineage: Eukaryota; Metazoa; Cnidaria; Anthozoa; Malacalcyonacea; Plexauridae.
GGCCUACAAUCGUUUAAUAUAAAAUAAUAUUGCGAUAUGAAAGAAAUUGCUGGACCUACUUCUUCUUCAAAAAUGAAUUUUAGGGAUAAUAUAUUGACUUGAACCUAUUGAAAUCCUUUGGCUGUGACUUUACAAAUUUGGUAUCACAAGUGACAAGGCCUCCCAUGACAUUAUCAUGACUGUUCAUUGAUAUUGGAAAAAUAGUUUAAAGAUCAAUGCUUGGAUGAAUCAGGGAACUUCAUUUACAAAACAGACAAUAAAAGACCUGAUUUAUCUUAACGACAGUUUAAAUUAUAAAUCUGUGAGAUUCUAAUAUACACUCUAGUUUUUAAGAUACAUAUUAACAGUUUACUCUACAAUGAGGGGAAAAUAAUCUGAAUAUGAGAAUUUUCUCUGUUACUCAAGUUUAUGUUACAUUUAGCACCAAGUAUAUUAUUGUUGCUAUCACCUUAGGGGCUGUUUACAUGAGCCUGGCUAGCCAUGCAGGCUGGCCCAGUUAACCAGGCUGAAGGCCUGGCUAGCCAGGAGGUUACCUGAGCUGGUGACUUUACAUGGAGAAAUUUCAGCCCGGUUAUCCGGGCAUCCCAUUUGACUCAAGUGAGAUCUCGGCUAGGCAGAUUCUUGUUAAAUGAUUUGUAUUAAGCUGGGUGCCUCGGUUAACAGGACUAGUCGGGCUCAUGUAAAUAGCCCCUUAGUUAUUAAGACUUGUUGGCAGAGUAAAAUAUAUCAGGCAAUAAAACUGGUUUCAACUUGCAACAAAUCGGAUGUUGGUGCAUGUAAGUUGUUAUUAAGACUUGUUGGCAGAGUAAAAUAUAUCAGGCAAUAAAACUGGUUUCAACUUGCAACAAAUCUGAUGUUGGUGCAUGUAAGUUGUAAUGUUGUUUUUACAAAG